UCAUUACUGUACCAGUAUUAUGUCAAGCUGCAUCCUUUGUACUAAAAAUACUUCCAUCUCAACAUCAGACUCUGUGAUGAAGAGUACAUCAGAAUGAUAGGGACUUGUGAUUUCAUUGCUAUAAAGAACUCCCACGCAAAGAAACUCCAUCUAUCAAAUCAGGGUGAUACCUUCUUGGCAACUUAUAGUCUUAGAAAAUUGCUUGGAAAUCUGAAAACUGUCUCUUGCCGAAAGUUAAAAAGCCACACUGUCAAAAGUAGAUUUUCUUGACUUAGAGAGAAAGAAUGUCAAUGGGAGGAAAAAAGAAGACAUAAGAAGUCCAAGAAAAAGAAAAGCAGUCCAGAAGGUCAAAAAAAGGGGUACGACAAAGGUCUAUGCUGCUGGAUCUAAGUCAACUAACUAACCAGGGAACCUGUGUCUUCUCAGAAAGAACCUCAUUCCACUGUGAAGUGUCCCUCAGAUGUCUCCCUAAAAUCAAUGCCUUCAUAAUUUCAACAGUUUUAUUAGAGAAACUCAUCAAACUGAUUAGGGAUUUCUCAAUCAAACCUACCUACCUACAGACAAAUGUGUAUAAUAAGCACACAAAUAUAAAGGGCUGACCAAGUGAAAGCCUGAGCAAUUUAUUGUAUGUGGUAAAGAACAAAAACAUUCUUUUGGACAAUGAUUUGGUCGCCUUGGUUUUAUCUCACUGAGAGGUGCAAACAAGUAUAUAAUAGGCAAUAUAUAAAUGUUUAUUUUUAAUCAUGUCAUUUUAAUAACUUUUUACUUUUGAAAUACAGGCAAAGAUAGUUUUCAGCAUUCAUCUUUGUAAAACCUUGUGUUUCAAAUUUUCCCCCUCCAUUCUCUGCCCCCUCCCCUAGACAGCAAGUAAUCCAAAUAGGUUAAAUAUGUGUAAGUCUUCUAGACAUAUUUCCACAUUCAUCAUGCUACACAAUAAAAAUCAGAUCAAAAGGGAAAAAGAAAGAAAAAAACAAGCAAACAAGAACAAAAGGGGAAAAUACUAUGCACUGAUCCACAUUCAUGGACCAUAGAUCCAUUUAUGUAGAAUACAACUUCAUACCUUCUAUUUUUCAUUUUUAAAUAAGCCUUUAAUUGAUAUUUUCUAUUCCUUAUAUCACCAUAGUUAGGCCAUGCAAUGAUCUCCCUCUCGGAAAGUCAUCUCAUUGCACAGUCUUUUUUAAAGAAGAAAAAAAAAAGUUAUCACAACUGAUUGAUAUAUUUUAAAAGUCCUAAAACAUGUGCAAUGUGUAACACCUGUAGACCUCACAAUACUAUAAAGUAGGUUAGGAGUGAAUUCUCACACCUCUUCAUUCAAGCUGCUUUAUGUUUAUUAUUUUAUUCUUUUUUUAUUUCUUUUGGUCAUAUUAUUCUUUCCAUUUAUAUUGUUGUAGUUAUUACAUGUAUUAUUUUCUUGCCUCUACUUACUUUAUUCAGCAUCAGUUCAAAUAAAUCCUUCCAUAUUUCAUAUAUCCUUAGAUCUUACAUCCUUAUAUCUUAUACCACAUAUCAUUUCUUAUAACAAAAUAAUAUUCCAUUGUAUUCAUAUACCACAAUGUCUUUAGCCAUCCUCAAAUUGAUGGGAAUUUAUUCUGUUUCCUCUUGGCUAUCAACAUUGAUAUCUUUUUCUUUGUGAUUCUCAUGAAUACCCUCUCAUCAGUCCUCUAGAAAAAAUCUGCCCAAAGCAGCAAAAAGUUUUCCUAUAGAACCAAAGAUUUGUAACCUUUUCUGUGUCAAGGAGCCUUUUGAUGGUCAUAUUAGUGAAGUCUAUGAUCCUCUUCUCAGAAUAUUUUAAAUGCAUAAAAUGAACACAGAGAAUUAUAAAGGAAAACAAAAGUUAAAGAACAUAAGGAUAUGGUCUUUUCCCCCUAUAGGUCUAGAAGCUCCCACAGAUCUUUACUAGGUUAAAAUCCUUAAUCUAAAAUAAUAAGAAAUCCAAAAAUAGCUUAUAUUUUUACUAUAGAACUUUGGAGUUAUAAAGUGUUUUACAUCAGUUGCCUUUUUUGAACCUCCCAAGAUACCAGAAAGUAAAGGAGGUGAGAAUUACCAGUCCUAAUGUUCAAUGAUUUAUUUUUUUCCUACGGACAAAUACCAAGUCUUAAUCUUCAUCAACACCAAACAUUCUAUUGUUUUUCAAUAUUUUAACAACUAACAGAUGCAAAACUUGUGAAAACUUUUUAAUAGUAUUUUAUUUUUCCAAAAAAAACACCUAAAGAUAGUUUUCAAUAUACAUUUUUGUGAAACUGUGUGAUCCAAAUUUUUCUCUCUCCCUCCUUUACCUCUCUCCUCUCCAACACAGCAAGCAACUUGAUAUAGGUUAAAUAUGUGCAAUUCUUUUAAAUAUGUUUCUAUGUUUGUCAUGUUAUACUAGAAAAAUCAGAUCAAAAGAGGAAAAACACAAGAAAAAAAGGUGAACACUCUAUGCUUCAAUCCACAUUCAGUCUCCAAAAUUCUCUCUCUGGAUGCAGACGGCAUUUUCCAUUUCAAUUUUAUUGGAAUUGCCUCGAAUCAUCACACUGUUAAUAAGUCAAGAACUUGUGAAAACUUUCUUUCCUGAGGAAGUUUUAAGCUUAGUCAGAGAGUUCUGGACUUGGAGUCUUGAAAACCCGAGUUUGAAUCCUUCUUAAAUAUUUCCUAGCUGUAUAACCCUAGGCAAGUUACUUAAAUUCUUUUAGAUUCAGUUUCUUUAUCUAUAAAAAGAGCAUGAAAUACUUGCACAUCACAGAUUUUUUGAGAAAAACAGGAGAAAUCUGUAAAGCCUCUGAAAAUCCUAAAUAUACACAUACACAUAUACACACAAACAUGAUGCAUCAACUAAAGAUAGAAUUAAGAAGGAAAACAAAAAUUAAGGAACAUAAGAAUACAAUGUUUUCCCCAUAUCUCUCUCUCUCUCACACACACACACACACACACACGUGUGUGUUAUACGUAUAUUCCCAUACGAGUCACAUAUAGAAACAUAUAUAUGGGGAAGCAAUGUAUCCUUAUAUUAUGCAGAGUGCAAUCCAGCUACUAAAUUUACCAUCAUCCUUUCAAAUAUCUAUGCCACUGGAGUUUCCUGUUUUAUACAAAAGUAGCAGGAUACUGACUACAAAUCUCAAUUUCUUAUCUAUAGACAAGAUUAAAAAUAAGAAGCAUCAUGUUGUAGUAAAUUGAGAGUUGUUCUCAGAGCCAGAAAAACUUGCUUUAAGCACAAUCUUUGGUAUAAACUGGCUCUAUGACCUUGGUCAAAUCACUUAACCCUUCAGUUUCCUCCAAUCCCCUAUCCCAGAAUUUACUAAGACUAAAAGUUGCAAAGAUGGAAUAAACCUGCAUUGGAAAAGUGAGUUUCCUCAUUGGGAGGUUCCCUACAACAAUGAAAUCAUUACGUCCAUAUUCGGAAUGGACAGACCUGCUCAGAAAAACAUCAGAUCUUAUUCUCCAUCAACAUCAAGCAUGAAUUUUUUUUUCAAUAUUUUAAGGUACUUUUUCAUCACUCAUGAAUCUUAGGAGCUUCUGUCAUUUCUGAUUUGAACCUAUUAUAAGCAUGAAGAAAUGAGACUCGAGUUUUCUCUGUAGCUUGAGACUGGGAGGUAUUGGAAGCUGCCCAAGAAACCCUGUUCUCAUGAGAUUCCCAUCCUAAUUUCUUGAUCAAGGAUGUUUGGAUGAGUAUCUGAAGUUUAGAGAGUCUGUUCCAACCACUAUACCUUUUGAAGUUCACCCAUCACUAAUACAUCCUGUCUGUCUUUGAUGUGUGUAAUUAAUACAGGUUUAAACAGAUGUUUGUAUUCUGAAAGUUGCUAAAUAUAUACACACUUUAUGCACUUGCCCUUACAGGAGUGUUAGAAAUAGGACAUUUUCUUUGAGUAAUGAUCAGAGCUGAUGAUAAUAUGUCUCUCCAUUUAAUGGCAGCUAUUUUUUAAGGGAGAAUACCUGCCACUUCUUUUAGUUUCUUUUCUCCAUGCAUUAAAUACUGUGACUGUUUUUUCUCUUGAGUUGAAACAGGUUUUCCAUUUAGGAAAGGGGAAAAAAAAAAAACGAGGAGAAAUGGGAAACACACAAUGGAUGAGAAUUUCUCCUCUAGCUGUCAGUGCUCAUGACGAGGUUAAGAGACUCCCUUCAUGUCUACCCAGAGGAUGGGAUUCAAACAAAGAACAAUGUUUGCUCAGAUAAGACAAGGAUUCCAUCAAGGAAAAUAAGAAGGAAAGACAGAAGAAGAGGGGGAGAGUCUCAAAGGUAUAGUAUUCCCAACAGGUAAACAUCUUGCUUUGCUUCACAAUGGGCAAGGAAGGAAUCCACUGUUUGUUAUUUUUCCAACUAUCAGCACACUGAUUAAAGUCUGAAGUGCUUUAUUUUCCUUUUGGUCUGACUAAGAAGAAAGGCCAAAGAGAGGAAUCUGAGGUCACUCUUCCUAAUAAAAACCUUUCUGCUAACAUGGGUUAUGGCUGGAGAUGAGGUGAGCAGCUGGGUUCAAGAUGCUACUCUUCAAUUCAUCCAUCUAAGUGGGAUCAUUCUUGCCUUAAGGACCAAAAGCAAAAAUAAAUCAAAUGGGUAGAGAAAAUAAAGAACAACAAAUCACUAUAUUGCCUGAAAACACUGACUGGAUCAUGGACUAGCAGGAACUAUAGAGAUUAUCUACUUAAGGUCCGUGAUUUUUUUUUCUUUGGUGACUGUGUUUCAAAAUAAUUGGUUUCUAUAAACCUAUGCAUUUUAUUGUACGCAAUUAAAAGCAUUAUUGUGAGGAGCCAAUACCUCCAGACUCUCAAAGGGAUUCAUGAUAAAGAAAAUGUUAAGAAAUCCUCAUCUAAUGGCAUUUCAUCUUACAGAUAAAGAAUUUAAGUCCCAGAAUACUAAAAUGACCAGGGGGUCAUAGUGGGAAUAGGAAGCAGAGCUAUCAUUCAAACCCAAUUCCCUUUAUUCCAAUCCAGAGUUCCUUUCAAUACAUUCAACUGCCUCAAUUCCAGGUCAAACAUCCAUGAAUUAAUUAGUGUAGAUAUACUGUCCACCAACAUAGGACCCAAAAGAGAUUUUAAAAUCUCUUUAUAACUAAGCUUCUUCCUACUUCUCUAGUCAUCUUUCACAUUAUUCCUGUACACAUACUCUUUAACCCCAUCAGGAUGGACAAACAACAAUUGGGCUAUUUACUAUUCAUUCCAUGCACCUAAAUAAUUUUGCCCCCAUUCAUCUCUUCACUCCUUGGCUGAAUGAGCAUCUCCUCACCUCUGCUUCUUGGAAUUUCUGAUUUCCUUCCAUACAGAGUUCAGUAUUAAGCUUUUCUUGAUUCUUCCAGCUGCUAAUCUCCCUCCUUCCCAAGUACCCUGCAUCCAUUUUAUUUGUUUAAAUGUAUAUGUUUAGUUAUGUUCAUAUGAAUUCAUGUGCUCCUCUAGUUGAAGAAAUUAAUCUCUUCUUCAUUUACACCCUGGUGAUGUGCUCCUCCAGACUUAGCCAGGCUGAUGGUCAGACAAUAGGUGUAAAAUCACUUACAGAAAUAGUACUAACCCAAAGAGAUUUAUAAGAAGGAAAAGGACACACAUAUGUAAAAAUGUUUGUAGCAAUCCUUUAUAUAGUGGCAAGAAACAGAAAAGUGAGUGUAUGCGCCCAUCAAUUGGAUAAUGCCUGAAUAAACUAUGGUAUAUGAAUGUAAUGAAAUAUUAUUUUCCUAUAAGAAAUAAUGAGCAGGCUGAUUUCAGAAAAGCCUUGAAAGAUUUACAUGUACUGAUGCUAAAUGAAGUAAGCAGAAUCAAGAGAGCAUUGUAUAUAUAAUAAUAGCAAGAUUAUGUGAUGAUCAACUGUGAUGGACUUAGCUGUUCUCAACAAUGCUGUGAUUCAAGGCAAUUCCAAUAAACUUAAGAUAGAAAGUGCCAUCCACAUCCAGAGAGAGAACUAAGGAGAUUGAAUGUGGAUUAAAACAUUGUAUUUUCACCUUUUUUGUUUUAUUUGUGUGUUUCUCAUGGUUUUGUCCCCUUUGGGUCUGAUUUUUCUUGCACAAAAUGAUAAAUUUGGAAAUAUAGUUAAAAGAAUUCAUAUACUUACCCUAUAUAAGAUUGCUUGGUAUCCUUAAGAGGAGGAAGGUGAGGGAGGGAGAAAAUUUUGGAACAUAAAGUUUUCCAAAAAUGAAUGUGGAAAACUAUCUUUAUAUAUACCUGGAAAAAUAAAACACUGUUGAAAACAAAAAAGAAAGAAUACUAAAAGGCUUUUCAAUUCCAUAAGACCUAUUAUAUUUUGCCCUCUUCUUAGCAUAAUCUUUAACAACUCAAGGUCUCUUCCAGGCUAACAUGAAGCAAUAUCUUAGAAUUGUGGAUAUCUUUUUCCCAUCCAAGUUCACAGAUCUGAAACUUAUUCAUGAUUUUUUGAGUCCAUGAACCCCAGUUUAUGAACCUUAGAUCUAAACUUGGGUUUCGAUGUGAAAGACUCCAUCUACCAAAUCAAAGCAUCUGUAAUUUAUCGUCUUUUUUUUGUAUCAUCUUAUUAUUUUGUAAUUUAUUAUCUCGCCUAAGGCACCAAGAAGUUAAUUUGCCCACUGGGAUCACAUGAUAGUAGAUAUCAGAAGUAGACAUUGAAUGUAGGUCUUCCCAGUCUCUAAAGCUGGCACUCUAUGCAUUAGGCGAGAUUCCUACAAGCCAAGAGGAUUCCACAGGAGUAAUGAUACCUGCAGUACCUAAAAGGAGGACAAGAGUAUAUAAACAUCAAAUAUUAUUGUUCAAACACCCAAAACUGAUGGUACGAUAUUUGUUGAGCAAUGAAACUUUC
Long non-coding RNA from Sarcophilus harrisii (Tasmanian devil), 6726 nucleotides. The record is from Ensembl. Lineage: Eukaryota; Metazoa; Chordata; Mammalia; Dasyuromorphia; Dasyuridae.